This 496-nucleotide ribosomal RNA is filed under the name uncultured bacterium. RNAcentral describes it as "partial 16S ribosomal RNA". It matches the Rfam family "Bacterial small subunit ribosomal RNA", at positions 28 to 506 of the family's 1533-position model. The record is from RNAcentral.
GAUGAACGCUGGCGGCGUGCCUAAUACAUGCAAGUCGAGCGAACAGACGAGGAGCUUGCUCCUCUGACGUUGGCGGCGGACGGGUGAGUAACACGUGGAUAACCUACCUACAAGACUGGGAUAACUUCGGGAAACCGGAGCUAAUACCGGAUAACAUGUUGAACCGCAUGGUUCAACAGUGAAAGACGGUCUUGCUGUCACUUAUAGAUGGAUCCGCGCCGCAUUAGCUAGUUGGUAAGGUAACGGCUUACCAAGGCAACGGUGCGUAGCCGACCUGAGAGGGGGAUGGGCCACACUGGAACUGAGACACGGUCCAGACCCCUAGGGGAGGCAGCAGGAGGGAAUUUUCCGCAAUGGGCGAAAGCCUGAGGGAGCAACGCCGGGUGGGUGAUGAAGGGCUGCGGAUCGUAAAACUCUGUUAUUAGGGAAGAAAAAAUGUGUAAGUAACGAUGCACGUUUUGACGGUACCUAAGCAAAAAGCCACGGCUAACUACGU